GGCCUUUUGAAAAUAAUUUAAGGUCUAACCUGCCCAAUGAAGAUUAAAAGGCCGCGGUAUUUUGACCGUGCAAAGGUAGCAUAAUCAUUAGUUUUUUAAUUGAAAGCUGGAAUGAAUGGUUGAAUGAGAAAAUAACUGUCUCUAAAUUAUUUAAAAUGAAUUUUAUUUUUAAGUUAAAAAGCUUAAAUAACUUUAAAAGACGAGAAGACCCUAUAGAGUUUUAUAUACAAAUUUGUUUAGGAUUUUAGAAUUUUAUAACUAAUUAAAAUCUAUAUUUUAUUGGGGUGAUAGAAAAAUUUGAGAAACUUUUUAUUUAAAAUUUCAUUGAUUUAUGAAAAAUUGAUCCAUUAUUUAUGAUUAUAAGAUUAAAUUACCUUAGGGAUAACAGCGUAAUUUUUUUAGAGAGUUCAAAUCGAUAAAAAAGAUUGCGACCUCGAUGUUGGAUUAAAAAAUAAUUUUGGUGUAGAAGCUGAAAAAUUGGGUCUGUUCGACCUUUAAAAUUUUACAUGA
RNAcentral lists this ribosomal RNA (510 nucleotides) under Malthonea tigrinata. RNAcentral describes it as "partial large subunit ribosomal RNA". It matches the Rfam family "Bacterial large subunit ribosomal RNA", at positions 1819 to 2603 of the family's 2925-position model. Lineage: Eukaryota; Metazoa; Arthropoda; Insecta; Coleoptera; Cerambycidae. The record is from RNAcentral.